CGUCACCCGGCAACGGGACUCAGCGCCCCGGCGGACCGCGCCGCCGGCUCCGCCCCGUAUCCCUCCGCCCAGAGGGCGGCCCGGAUCCCCGAUCGCAGAGCCGCGGGGCUGCGCCGCGCGGGGCCCGGGCGCCGGCGAGCCGCCCUCAUGCCGGGGCCGCGGCGCAGGAAGGGCGGGGGGAGCAGGGGAAGUGUCCUUUGCCCUGGUUGUACAGCCUCCCGCCCGCCCGGAGAGCGCCGCGCUGUCCGCCUGAGGAGGGAAGCGGCGGGCCCGGCGCUCGGCAGCCCCCGGGCGGGCCCGCGGGGCCGCCGCUGAGGCGGGAGAGCCGGCGGGCGGAAGCACCCGCGCCCCUCAGGAGCGCCGCGCCGCCGGGAGGGGAGCACCCGGGCAGGGCCGGCGCAGGAAUGCGAGGGAGGGAGCGGGGGAUAAUGAUGGAGCGUAGCGGUGUUUGUCAUGUGAGGGCCUUUUGAAAUCCUGAACGACUCCGAGAGCGAGGUUAACAAAUAAAAGUUUAUUUUACUGCGCAAUGAAAGCCCGUCUGGAAGGGAAGUAGUCUGUUAGGAGAUUGUUGCCAUUGAAAGUCGGGUUUAGUAGGUGAGGUCCUCGGGAGCCGCGGGGAUUUUGUUCUAAUUGAUUAAAUGCCAGUUUAAUCACAACUGUUUACACAACCCUGGAGUAAUGAAAGGGCAACAUUUUUAGCAUAGUAGAUGGGUGAAAAUGGGCCACUGUAAGGCUGAAAAUAUGACAAGACACACCAAAGUACUCGUUAAGCUUCUUAAUUAGGAAAAUAAUGAUGCCCUUUUCAGGUGAACACUACCACCCCACAUUUCUCAAAUACAUGAACACGUAUGGGCCUAAGGAAAGUCAAUAUUAUGUAAGAUGUCAGAGUAAGUCUUCUGUGUGUGUAAUCCUGAGGUUUUCUUCCUUUUGUUCACUGCUCAACGUGUGGCUCCUAGAGUUCCAAAAUGCAGUAUGUCAUCCGUGUUGGCUCACACUGCUUCUUUUGUGCACAACAUCUUCAGUCAAUGGAACCAAGAUUGCCUUUGAAAACAUGAUCCCCCAGUACGGGAUGUGGUCCCAUUUAGGCCUUUCAACAAGUUAAGUCUGUGUAUAAAAACUACAUCUCAUAAGAAGCAUGCAUGCAAACAUUGCCUCCCAGCCUAUAUAUUCAUUUCCUGAUACAGAGCAACAUUAUUCUUAUUUUUGUUUUAGCUAGGGUUUGCCAAUUUUGAACAUCCUUAGCGCCUAAUUUUGUCAUAAAUCUGACAGGCUAGCCAAAAGUUAAGUAUGCAAGAUUGUGUAGCUACAUGAACUACCAGCAUUCUCUUAAACGUCACUGAGGCAUUCAUUGAUGUUGUAUGAACGUGCAGUUAAUCAGUUACUUUCUCCAAACCUUGCAGGAGUAUUUUGGGAGAAAUCUAAAGAGAAAGUAGUGCUUUAAACUGUGUGAUGAAAGGACAGAAUUGUUCUCUGAACUAUUUAAUUACUGUUCAAGUUAUUUUCUUGUUAUGAAAAGCUGAAACUGAAAAGCUUUGGGGGAAAAAUCCUGCUGACUGUUUUCUGCUGAGUCAUUCCCCGGGUUUAUCAGAAGCAUUUCACCACCACUAACACAACUCGCACCAAUCACUAUCAAAUCUCCUUUUGUUCAGGAGCUCAGAAUUUGAAUUCCCCUUUUCAAGGUAGAAUAAGAUGUACUAAAAUAUGAGGCACCUAAGAUUUGUCUGUAGUAACAAUUGGUACCAAUUUAAAUCAAUCUCCAUACAGUCCUCUGCACAUAUCUUCCAUGUAUUAGUAAUGUAUAUCAUCAAUACAAAUCCACUCUGUUUCACCCUUUUUAACCAUUUUUUUUUCUCUGAAGGUUUGUAGAAGGAGCAGAUGCUCAGAACAUUGGUGUUCUCCUAAUGGAGCAAGCCAGAGCAUGGAGGCCAAUGACAGAUUAUUCUGAAUAUUCCCAUAGUUGCUGUGUGACAUUUCAAAUUGACAAUUCUGGUUUUGUGGUCAGAUCUCAGGAAUUCCGACAGUGGAACUUUUUUGUUUGUUGGUUUUUGUUGGUUUUUAUUUUCCUAACAACCAACCCAGUUCUGAUCUCCGUUUGGCAAGCAUUUCAGAAACAGCUGGUACAUGACCAUAUGCCGUGCUGGCGCUGCUGUGGGCUUAUUUCCCACUUGUCCUCCUGGUCAAUCAGAGUAGCUCCAUGUGCUGAAGGACAGCUGGUCCCUUGGCAUGCAAAGCAGCUAAUGAACUUUUCCUCCAAAAAGCUGUAGGGAUAGAGAUGUGAGCUGCAAUCAGUGGUUUUUCCUUUCUGAAGUGCUAUCAAAGAUGGGAGUUUUCUGUGGGAGCCCUGUUUAUUGCCUCUGUGUGACAACCUGCACCCUGAGAACAACUAUGUGGGUGUGCGUUGUAGGUGACAGCACUUGUUUGGAAAAUGAAGGCUAAAUGAUCUGUGUUGAAAAGAAUUCUAAACCACGACUGAGUGACUGAUGGACUUGUGCCUUUAGCUGUCAGCCUCAGCAAGUAGACCAUUUCCCUUUUCAUUGUGAUCCCUGCUGAAAGGGUCUCCAAUAAAUUUCUAAAAAUGUGUCCAUUUCAUAAUACAUUAUUUUUCCUUUAAGUAACCUACUGAAGGAGAAAUUGCACAGCAGUUUAGUAUUACAUAGCCACAGCUUGUAAGCAUUUUAUUGUCAGCCAUUCCUCUUACUUCCUUAAAAUCAGUCAGUUUAUAAUAUUCCCUAAAAUUCCCUUGUAGGUGCAAUAAAAAUCCCCUGAUUUUCCCCGAGCAAGGAUUAAGUAUCAGUUAGCUUUGAAAGUCAUGAUAACCAAUCAGUAGACAAUUCUCUUGUUCACAGUUCAUAAACCGUUCAUAUGAAAUGCUUGAUAAAAACAAUCUGCCCAUUCAGCAUUUUAGAAACAGAGCUACAGUACAAUUUGUGAGGGAAUAUAUGUAUUCCAAGAACUUAAAAGAUCAUCUAAAUGUGCAGGAUCUAAAUAUAUACAUAAAGCUAUAAUGUGUUUUUAAAAUCUAGUAAAUGGAUGGAUGUUAAUGUAAACUGAAAUAGGGAAUAUCCAACAGACUCAUGGUGAGUUUUAUUUGAAAUCUUGAUGCACAGAUUCAAAAUUAUAGUUAUCUCUUUGAAACUACUUUUCUUAAUUCCACAAAGGCUUGCCUAACUUUUUUCCUUCUUUUCAGGAUCCAUUUCAGGUUUUUAGCAAAGACAUUCACACCUCCCAGAAGUAAUAACUCCGUUCAAAUGACACAUUCAAAAGGCAUUCCUCAGCACUAGAUCAGGUUUCAGAUUCCUUUUUACUGAUCCCUCUUUCCUAAUAAUAUCCC
Molecule: long non-coding RNA, 3331 nt
Organism: Passer domesticus (house sparrow)
Lineage: Eukaryota; Metazoa; Chordata; Aves; Passeriformes; Passeridae
Exons: 2
Source: RefSeq, a predicted model, not a curated record